Molecule: small nuclear RNA, 97 nt
Filed under: Panthera leo (lion)
Lineage: Eukaryota; Metazoa; Chordata; Mammalia; Carnivora; Felidae
Description: U2 spliceosomal RNA (ENSPLOG00000010313.1)
Rfam family: U2 spliceosomal RNA
About the family: U2 is a small nuclear RNA (snRNA) component of the spliceosome (involved in pre-mRNA splicing). Complementary binding between U2 snRNA (in an area lying towards the 5' end but 3' to hairpin I) and the branchpoint sequence (BPS) of the intron results the bulging out of an unpaired adenosine, on the BPS, which initiates a nucleophilic attack at the intronic 5' splice site, thus starting the first of two transesterification reactions that mediate splicing.
Source: RNAcentral
AUCACUUCUCGGCCUUUUGGCUAAGAUCAAGUGUAGUAUAAAUUUCAUUUCAUCACCUACUCAUUUGCUGCAUUUUUAAAUGAAAAGGUAAAUAUAU